UGCCCAACUUCUGUCUACUGUCGGACUC
This 28-nucleotide non-coding RNA is filed under the name Homo sapiens (human). The record is from RNAcentral. Lineage: Eukaryota; Metazoa; Chordata; Mammalia; Primates; Hominidae.